Etheostoma cragini (Arkansas darter) is the source of this 116-nucleotide small nuclear RNA. RefSeq annotates it as U5 spliceosomal RNA. The transcript has a single exon. NCBI's taxonomy places the organism in Eukaryota, Metazoa, Chordata, Actinopteri, Perciformes, Percidae. The record is from RefSeq and is a predicted model, not a curated record.
UCACUCUGGUUUCUCUUCAUAAUACAAAAGUCUUUUGCCUUUUACCAAACACUUCCUUGAAGGGAAACGCCGAUGAGUUGAAACUACUUUUGUUGACCUUUGCUGUUUGGCCGAGC